UAGAGUGGCAGUUCCUUUGCCUCCAGAGCGGACUUUCAAAUUAUUUGCUAGACUGGAUUCUGUGGCAUCGCCUCCUCACUGGAAUCCCUCCCCUCCCGGACAUCGCCCUCAAAUUCCUUUCCGCAAUUUCCCAAGACGGAGUUGGCAAUAGAGGUACCAACCAACAGGCGGGGCCUGGAGUUCUCUCGGAAUUACAGGUGUCCGUGAGAGAGGUUGGAAAACGGCAUGUCUCAUGCUAGCCGGGGAGUGUACUCCUCAAAUACAAGUUGGAGAUGGGUGCCGAGAAUGACCCCCUGACCCUUGAGUGCCAGCUACAUGAAGAUCAAGUAGAACAGGAGAACACCGUGUCUUAAAACAAAGAAUUUGCAGCAUGUAACAAGUGAGAGUCACUGGGCAAAAUAUAAGCAACAAAUUUGGCUGUUGGUGGGAAUGUUGUCUCCAGGCAGAAAAUAUAAACAUACUGAAGCAAACUUUGCUUCUGCCUGGUUAUCACUCAUUCCCCUUCCUCUAUUUGUGUGACCUUUCUGACCCUAUUUCAAGACAGAGUACGCAAUUUUAAAAUGGCUUCCACAAAUGGUAUUAGUUUGUAUACACACAGCAGCUUUUUUAUACUUGUAGGCAAUGAUGAAAAGCUAUCAUUGGUCAUAGAAUACACAUUGCUUGUUUUGUUUUAUUCUGCCAUCAUCUUUGUCAAAUGUUUCUUAAAAUGAUUGUAGAGAAGUUUAAAAUAUUCCCCCUCACAUACAAAUCAUGGCCCACACUCUGCAAUUCGUUUAAUUACAGUCUGAAUAUCCCACUCUCUGUAGCGGUGAAAAGCCUUCAAACUGUGUUACUCUCAUUGAGACACUGGAGUAGAAUUUAAAGAUAAACACAAUCUGGGAGGAAAACAAAACAAAUAAGAAUCCCUGCUGAUUGGGCCAGUUAAUAAACAGCCUGAUUUUAUCCCUAGGAUAAAUCUUAUAUAUUCAUUAGGGUUUAUAAGACUAGAGUUAUCUGGUAUUGCUUCCUACACUAAUAGUAAAUUUGUUACAUGUCUUUCCAUAGUAGUUGUCCUUUAGCUAAUUUAUCCAUGAAACAGAUCCUACAAAGACUGAAGUUGCAGGACCCUGAUUCUUUACAGUAAACAAUGUAAAAGUUAAAGAUUACACCUGCAUUCCAGGAAAUGUGGAAGGAAUAUCUCUGUGGCAACAUAUGUUGACUGUGAGUUAUAAAAAUUUAGAAAAACAAAUUGCUACAACUUUCUGUGUUUUACUUCAUAGUACAUUUCACUUGGUUUGGUAUAUUUUGCAUAGCAUAUUUUUUGUUAAAAUACCCUAUAAAAAUUCAAAGAUCAAAGAAUCAGGUAAAUAGCCUAACCUAAGUAAGAUUUGAAUUAAAAACAAAACAAUGCCUUUCUAGAUUAGAGAAAGCAAUCCAUGUUAUCAGGCAUGGGGGAGAUUUGCAUAAUUGUUUUGUAACUGCAAGAAAAUGAUGUGAGGAAAUCCCCUGUUGUAUUUUAGCCUUUUAUGUUCUCACUUGGCAGCUGGGAACAAGACAGAGCGGCACCUCAUAUGUCAGCUGUCAGUGAUUGUUCCUUGUAUCCAUGUUGAUACACAGAUUAUGAAAUUACUCCUAAAAAUGGUUUGACUAAAAAUCGGAUGUUUUAAUAGACUUAUGAGAGGAAGUAGUUAAGAAGAGGAAAAUUCUGUAAAUUUCUGGUUAUUCUAUUAAAAAUUUGGAGAAUGGCAGAGUAAACUCACCAUACAGUGACUGAUUUUGGAAACUAUUUUAUCAAAACCUGUUAAUCAAAUCAGAUCAAAAGUUAUCCUGUAAAUACCGAAUAAAACAUUGGAAUGAA
This is a long non-coding RNA of Eublepharis macularius, 1837 nucleotides long. RefSeq lists it as uncharacterized. NCBI's taxonomy places the organism in Eukaryota, Metazoa, Chordata, Lepidosauria, Squamata, Eublepharidae. The transcript is spliced from 3 exons. The record is from RefSeq and is a predicted model, not a curated record.